Molecule: unclassified non-coding RNA, 387 nt
Filed under: Hevea brasiliensis (rubber tree)
Lineage: Eukaryota; Viridiplantae; Streptophyta; Magnoliopsida; Malpighiales; Euphorbiaceae
Source: RNAcentral
AGGGCAAAAAAAAAAAAAUAUAUUUGUAUAAUCACCAAAUUGAAAAUAGUUUAUGGAAUUUGUAAGUCCAGGUGUGCAAUUUCCAACUAUAUACAUGCAUACUACACUACCCUAAGAAAAUUCACAGUUCUUUCUUUCUCUUUUUAUUUUUUGUUUACACCUUUAUUACACUACCAAUAAUCCAAUACAUGUAUACAUAUAUCAUUAACAUAUAUAGACUAGACAUUUCAUGAUGCCAUAUUCUUUAUACUGAUACCUAAUAAGAUUCUGAUGACUUUCAACUAAUAGGAACUGAUCCCUAAAAACUUACUCUUGCAUAGAGCAAAUCCAAUUCAACAUCCAACACCAUUAUAAUACUCAAAGUCAACUCAACUCAACUAAGCCUUU